GGCUCAGUAAAUCAGUUAUAAUCUAUUCCAACGUUGUCUCCAUCGGAUAACUGUGGUAAAUCUAUAGCUAAUACGUGCUAAAAAGUUGCCUUUGGCAAUAGCAUUUAUUUUCGAAACACCUUGGUGUAACUGAGUAUAGAUAACUGUGCAUACCGAAAAGUAAUUUGACGGUAGUUCGAUCGAAUUUCUGCCCUAUCAUGUUGUUUGUAUGCUAAGGGCUUACAAAGCACCUAACGGGUAACGGGGAAUCAGGGUUCGAUUCCGGAGAGGGAGCCUGAGAAACGGCUACCACAUCCAAGGAAGGCAGCAGGCGCGCAAAUUACCCAAUCCUGAAACAGGGAGGUAGUGACGAGAAAUAUCGAACCAGUGAAAUCACUGGUACCGAAAUAUUUUUGAUUAAAAAAAUCUUGCUAUAAUUGGAGGGCAAGUCUGGUGCCAGCAGCCGCGGUAAUUCCAGCUCCAAUAGUGUACAUCAAAAUUGUUGCACUUAAAACGCUCGUAGUUGGAUUGCAAUUACUCUGCGGUUGGACGUCAAACGACUGUUCAUCAGCAGUGUUAUAGUUGUAGGACUCUGUGUUGAACUUUACUGUUCAUUGCAGAAACUCCUUCAAAGUGUGCCUUGAAUAAAGCAUAGUGCUUAAAACAGGCUAAUGAUUGAGUGUGCUAGCAUGGAACUAAUAAACGCCACUCUAGUGGUUGGUUAAGAGGAACAUUAGAGGGUGUUCGUACUUGGUGGCGAGAGGUGAAAUUCUUAGACCCAUCAAUGACGCACUGUGGCGAAAGCAUUCACCAAGAGUGUUUUCAUUAAUCAAGAACGAAAGUUAAAGGUUCGAAGACGAUCAGAUACCGUCCUAGUUUUAACCCUAAACUAUGCUAACAUGGGACAAGCCUGCACCUUUGUUGGUUUAUCCCUCUGCGAAAGCCUUAGUUUUCGAGUUGUGGGGAUAGUAUAGUCGCAAGGCUGGACCUUAAAUGAAAUUGACGGGAUGGCACCACCAGGAGUGGAGCCUGCGGCUUAAUUUGACUCAACACGGGACAACUUACCAGGUCCAGACGUUAGAAGGAUUGACAGACUGAGAGAUCUUUCAUGAUUUCAUGAUUGGUGGUGCAUGGCCGUUCUUAGUUGGUGGAGUGAUCUGUCAGGUUUAUUCCGGUAACGAACGAGAUUCUGUUCCCUAGUUUCCUUCGCUGCCAACUCGCUGCAGUGUGAAUAGGGAGACUGUACUCGCAAGAGUAAAGAAGUGGAGCAAUAACAGGUCUGUGAUGCCCUUCGAUGUCCUGGGCUGCACGCGCGCUAC
Molecule: ribosomal RNA, 1298 nt
Filed under: Ceratomyxa sp. 2 MHB-2018
Lineage: Eukaryota; Metazoa; Cnidaria; Myxozoa; Bivalvulida; Ceratomyxidae
Description: SSU rRNA
Rfam family: Eukaryotic small subunit ribosomal RNA
Source: RNAcentral